This 1936-nucleotide long non-coding RNA is filed under the name Nicotiana benthamiana. RNAcentral's name for it is "long non-coding RNA (NBEN_LNC018526)". The record is from RNAcentral. Lineage: Eukaryota; Viridiplantae; Streptophyta; Magnoliopsida; Solanales; Solanaceae.
UUAGGCAUUGCAGCCUUAUUAGAGUCAACUGGCUUCCUGUUAGAGUAGGCAUUGAAAGAUACAGAAUCCGGAUUAAAAUGAGAGGGAGACUGAACAUGCCUUUGUUUCUCAUCAUUCAGGAGGAUAUUAUACACACUGUCAAGGUUUGGAGGGGGCUGCAUCAUCAAAAUAUUGCUCCUCACCCCCAUGUAUGUGUCAUUGAGGCCCAUUAAAAACUGAAACACUUUAGAGUCAUCAUUUUCCUUUAUUAUACCUUCCUUAGCAAAACACACACACCUUUGCCCAUGGUUCACACACAUAGAUUCAACUUCAUCCCAUAGACCUUUGAGUCUAUUAAAAUAGGAUGCUAUAUCUAGGGACCCUUGAGAGGUGUUACACAUCUCUCUUUUCAAUUCAUAAAUUUUGGUCCUAUUGGCAGUACCAUAACGUGCCUGAAGUUGUGACCAUAUACUUUAAGCAGUAUCAGAAUAAUGCACGGACUCAGCAAUCGCAUGAGAAAUAGAAGCAGUUAGCCAUGAAAUUACCAUACUAUUACACCUAUCCCAUAAUCUCUGUUGAGCCACAUUAGUGGCUGGUCGAGGACAGGUUCCAUCUAUAAAACCAAUUUUAUUUUUGGCAGUCAAAGCAACAAUUAUUUUUCUUCUCCAUUCCCCAUAACCAUCACCCGAGAAAGGUGUGGGGACAAGAGAUACUCUGGGAACAUCGGAGGAGUAUAGGAAUAGAGGACUUGAAGAGUCCAAAAUACCAGUAUUGGUGUUAACAGCCAUGAUAUAUCAACAAGGAAAACCAGAUUCAACAACCAGAAUGUGACAAACCAAAUAUCCACACACAAAGCCAACUAUUCAAACACAAAACCAAAAUCAAUACACACAAACCAGGUAAUAUUGAAUUUUAAGACAUAUUAUNNNNNNNNNNNNNNNNNNNNNNNNNNNNNNNNNNNNNNNNNNNNNNGAUACACACAAACCAGGUAAUAUUGAAUUUUAAGACAAAGUUACCCUCCUUCUUCGCUACCGGAAGAAGAUCGGCCUUCAAAUGAUAGUGAAAACCCUAAGUAUGAAACCCUAGGUUCAGACGUCGAGUCAGUCACCGGAGAUAUGAGAAACGAUGUCGGAAGGUUACCCAAACAUCCACGAGAUGAGAAUCGGACCACCGGAAGACGGUAAAACAGUAAGUCAAAACCACCGAAAACCCUAGAUACCGAUAACUCACCAAAAUCACCCAAAACCGAUCAAAACGUUGUUAAAAGCGUUGAGGAUAGGAAGAUACACCCGGAUAUCAUGGUGUAAAACACUUGGAACCAUGUUCGAUCAAAGUCGGAAUCAUCAUUGACCAUUCGAUCUCAGAAAAAUUCUCAAAAAUCGUCAAACAAAUGCUCAAAAGUGACACCGAUAUGCAAAUAAACAUGAUCGGAUCGUUGUAAGGCUCUGAUACCAUGUCAAUAUUCAUAUAUCAGGUCUAGUAUGUGUCAAAAAUAAAAGCUUACCCACUAGACUCCUAAAUUGAUCAGGAGAGGGUAAGAGGUCACCACAAUCAGCAAUAAGUUUGACAUUUGUAUCCAAAGGACAGACAACAGAAGAUACAUUAGAACAGUCAAACUGAUGCAACAGGUCGGAAAUAUAUUUCUGCUGAUUGAGGAUCAUUCCACCAGGAACAUGAGACAUCUGAAUCCACAAGAAAUAAUGCAAGGACCCGAGGUCCUUGAUUUUAAACUGAUCAUCAAGAAACAGUUUCAGUGCAGAGAUUUCAUCAUUGUCUUCCCCAGUGAUAAUAAUAUCAUCCACAUACACUGCUAGAAUAACUAAAGACCCAGAUGUGCCUUUGAUGAAUAAAGAAUAGUCAUUCAAGGAGUGUUUAUAGCCUCUGAGAGAAAGAGCAUGAGACAACUUGGCAUACCAUUGUCUGGAAGCCUGACUCAGCCCAUAAAGAGAUUUUUUGA